RNAcentral lists this ribosomal RNA (259 nucleotides) under Chloropicon mariensis. Its description in RNAcentral is "partial Eukaryotic large subunit ribosomal RNA". It matches the Rfam family "Eukaryotic large subunit ribosomal RNA", at positions 1672 to 1932 of the family's 3401-position model. Lineage: Eukaryota; Viridiplantae; Chlorophyta; Chloropicophyceae; Chloropicales; Chloropicaceae. The record is from RNAcentral.
UGUGGGCCCUGGGAAGAGUUAUCUUUUCUCCUUUACAGCUUAUAACCCUGGAAUCGGAUUAUCCGGAGAUAGGGUCUAAUGGCUGGUAGAGCAUUGCUAUUUUGUAAUGUCCGGUGCGUCCACAACGGCCCUUGAAAAUCCGAGGGAAUGAAAAAGUCUUACAUGCGAUCGUACCCAUAUCCGCAUCAGGUCCCCAAGGUGAUCAGCCUCUAGUCCAUAGAAUAAUGUAGAUAAGGGAAGUCGGCAAAAUAGAUCCGUA